This 253-nucleotide ribosomal RNA is filed under the name uncultured bacterium. RNAcentral's name for it is "partial 16S ribosomal RNA". It matches the Rfam family "Bacterial small subunit ribosomal RNA", at positions 524 to 776 of the family's 1533-position model. The record is from RNAcentral.
UACGUAGGAUGCGAGCGUUGUCCGGAUUUAUUGGGCGUAAAGAGUUCGUAGGUGGUUCGUUAAGUCUGGUGUAAAAGCCUGGGGCUCAACCCUGGGAUGGCACUGGAUACUGGCGGACUGGAGUGUGGUAGAGGCAAGUGGAAUUCCCAGUGUAGCGGUGAAAUGCGUAGAUAUUGGGAAGAACACCGGUGGCGAAAGCGACUUGCUGGGACAUAACUGACACUGAGGAACGAAAGCUAGGGGAGCGAAUGGG